GCCCGCAUUUGAAGGAAAACCCAUCCAGAUUCUGGCUGUUUUCCACCCAAAGGAAAGCGGGUCGGGGUGGUGCCACCAUGGCGUUCUCCCUGAUUGUGUCAUUGUGUUCCAGGCAGCUCCGGCAGAAGGAUCCUGGUCAGUUUCUGGGGAAAUUGACAGUUUCUUGUUUGGUGUUUUGGCUCCUGCUGUGAUUUCUCCAGCCACCUGGCCCUCGUGGAUUUAUCUUCUUCCCACCUAGAGAUCCGGCACGAAAACAAGAACUGACAGGCCGUUGAGACGGAGCGAGCUGCUGCGCUUUUCUGCAUGAUGCCUGGGAGUGAGAAGAUCAAAAAGGUUUUCCAAGUCAGUUUCACGGCUCAUCUUUACCCUGCAUCAAUGGGUAAAUGACUAGAGCCUUACCAAAGGCAACUUACAAAAACUCAUCAUCUAUUCCUGCUGUACAAUAUUCAUUUUGGGUGAGUGACCUCUAUGCUCUCCAUCAUUUCUGUGAUGAAUGCCUACCUGUGUUUCUUGUUUGGGGUGAUGAAGCAGCGAAGCCAUGUAUUUACCCUGCUGUCCCCUUUCUGAGGGAGGAUGUUUAUUCCUGCAGGACUGAGGCAGCUGAAGCACCUGGGAAAUUAUGUCAGCAAUUUCAGGUUUAUCCAGCCUCACUGCAGCCCAAAAUUUCACCAAAUCCAGGUUUACUUUGUAUUUUCCAACUGAAAUACAUAGGAGCAUCAGCAAGAUGCACUGGCAUCGAGGAUCCUGGGAAAGUUCAGUCAGAUGCUGCCUCCAUUUGCCUGAGUCUCAAGGGGCAGGGUGCAUUCCUUGGGUCACCUCAGAGGCAUACAAAGAAUGCAAAGACACAUUUUAAACUCUGA
Molecule: long non-coding RNA, 860 nt
Filed under: Calidris pugnax (ruff)
Lineage: Eukaryota; Metazoa; Chordata; Aves; Charadriiformes; Scolopacidae
Description: lncRNA (ENSCPUG00000000045.1)
Source: RNAcentral